UACGGAGGGUGCAAGCAUUAAUCGGAAUUACUGGGCGUAAAGGAUGCGUAGGCGGAUAAGUAAGUCAAAUGUGAAAUUCCGGUACUCAAUACCGGAGCUGCAUUUGAUACUGCUUUUCUAGAGGGUAGGCGGAGAAAAUGGAAUUCCGUGUGUAGCGGUGAAAUGCGUAGAUAUACGGAAGAAUACCGGUGGCGAAGGCGAUUUUCUAGCUUACUACUGACGCUGAGGCAUGAGAGCGUGGGGAGCAAACAGG
This 253-nucleotide unclassified non-coding RNA is filed under the name uncultured Parachlamydiaceae bacterium. RNAcentral describes it as "contains 16S-23S intergenic spacer region". It matches the Rfam family "Bacterial small subunit ribosomal RNA", at positions 524 to 776 of the family's 1533-position model. The record is from RNAcentral. Lineage: Bacteria; Pseudomonadati; Chlamydiota; Chlamydiia; Parachlamydiales; Parachlamydiaceae.